Molecule: long non-coding RNA, 775 nt
Organism: Ictalurus punctatus (channel catfish)
Lineage: Eukaryota; Metazoa; Chordata; Actinopteri; Siluriformes; Ictaluridae
Source: Ensembl
GAAGCAUUAGCUCAGUGCUUGGUAUUUGUUUUCAGCUACCCUCGUUCGAUACAAUAUCUGGCCUCUGCUGAAGAAUUGUUGUGUCUGACAUUUGGAACUUCUGGCCUGGAGUGACAGAUGAGUGAGACACAAUCUUCAACACCUCAACAUUAAUGGGCUGAGUCAAAAGACUGCAGUCUAUUUCUGUUUCCUUUUUUCUGCCUCGGCUCGUCUCCCUUUCAAAGCAGGUUCCUGUUACUGUGUGUUAGCUGAUUAUAAGAAAGACCCAGCAGUCUGCUCUGGAAUGAGAGAGGGCAGAUCUUCAAGACGCUUGCUGUGUGAAGAAAUCAAUCAGCCGCAGUAUUCAGGUUUGAUUUUUAACCAUUCUUCUAAAUAUAUUGUCUUUAAGUCAGGUGAUUGUCUUGGCCAUUCUAACGCCUUGAUUUUUUUUUUCUCUGAAACCAAUUGAGAGUUUCCUUUGCUGUAUGCUUUGGAUCGUUGUCCUGCUGGAAGGUCCACCCACGUCUCAUCUUCAUCAUCCUGGUGGAUGGCUGCAGAUUCUUCUCAAGAAUCUUUAGCUGAACAGGAACGCGAUGACGAUGAAGAAGACAACACUCCCUGGCCUCCCUGCGCUCUCCACUGAUGCCAACACACUGCUCCCGUCACUCUGGGUACAGCCUGGAUGCUGCUGCAACCCAUGGCAGGAAGGCCUCGCCCUGCUCCCACACACUCCUCUCAAGCACCUCCACACACAGACUGUUAGAGUAAAUAAAAGAACACUUUUUCCCCACGUUUG